Molecule: long non-coding RNA, 291 nt
Filed under: Arabidopsis lyrata
Lineage: Eukaryota; Viridiplantae; Streptophyta; Magnoliopsida; Brassicales; Brassicaceae
Description: long non-coding RNA (ALYR_LNC000102)
Source: RNAcentral
CUCAGGUCGGAAUCCUCCAAUACGUAGCUGCUGGUCUCCAUCAGGUUCAUUGGAAGUCUGCUGACUUUUAACUUGAAUAUCUCCCUCAUGUGGAAAGCUUUUGAACCAAUUCCACCUCUCCGUGAUUCCUUGAUGAGUUAAGUUUCUUGAAUAAGUUGAUUUGUAGACUAACUCCUCCUGGUUGGGCUGAUAUGAUUCACACAAUGAACGUAUGUCCUUCUCGGGUCUGAUUCGCAUAGUGCAUCCUAUUUGAAUGAGCUUUGGUUCAGUUUCUGGUGUGAUGACCGCAUC